This 62-nucleotide non-coding RNA is filed under the name Saccharopolyspora spinosa. The record is from RNAcentral. Lineage: Bacteria; Bacillati; Actinomycetota; Actinomycetes; Pseudonocardiales; Pseudonocardiaceae.
UUCAGCGGAAUGAUGGGAGACCGUCACGUUCCGUUCGGUGGGAGCCCGGGGUGCGAUCCCCC